CCUACGGGGGGCAGCAGUGAGGAAUAUUGGUCAAUGGGCGCGAGCCUGAACCAGCCAAGUCGCGUGAGGGAAGACGGUCCUAUGGAUUGUAAACCUCUUUUGUCGGGGAGCAAAAGACGCCACGCGUGGCGUUCCGAGAGUACCCGAAGAAAAAGCAUCGGCUAACUCCGUGCCAGCAGCCGCGGUAAUACGUAGGGGGCAAGCGUUAUCCGGAUUUACUGGGUGUAAAGGGAGCGUAGACGGCAUAGCAAGUCUGAAGUGAAAGCCCAAGGCUCAACCAUGGGACUGCUUUGGAAACUGUUAAG
Molecule: ribosomal RNA, 305 nt
Filed under: uncultured bacterium
Lineage: Bacteria
Description: bacterial SSU rRNA
Rfam family: Bacterial small subunit ribosomal RNA
Source: RNAcentral